AAAAAGAUAAGCUAAAUUAAGCUAAUGGGUUCAUACCCCGUCUAUAGAAGAGUCUUCUUCUUUUUA
This 66-nucleotide transfer RNA is filed under the name Ocellarnaca sp. RNAcentral describes it as "tRNA-Met". Lineage: Eukaryota; Metazoa; Arthropoda; Insecta; Orthoptera; Gryllacrididae. The record is from RNAcentral.